RNAcentral lists this long non-coding RNA (364 nucleotides) under Nicotiana benthamiana. RNAcentral's name for it is "long non-coding RNA (NBEN_LNC040489)". Lineage: Eukaryota; Viridiplantae; Streptophyta; Magnoliopsida; Solanales; Solanaceae. The record is from RNAcentral.
GGAGCCUAGAAGAAGGUGACUCGCGCAGACAGCUUACUCCUUUUCAAUAGAAAAGAAUAGCCAAACCAACCCAGCUGGCUGGUCAAUCUCAGAGAUCUUAUCGGCCGGCAAACCGGAGACGGACGACCACGGUCCCGGCCUUACCAGCACCGGAGGUGUACUAAUCAAUGAACCCACGAAACCAACUUUCUUUUAUGACAAAAUAAACCAAGCCUAAGCGGUCACGGGACGACCACGGCCCCGGCCUUACCAGCACCGGAGGUGUACUGAUCAAUGAACCCAUGAAACCAACUUUCUUUUAUGACAAAAUAAACCAAGACUAAGCGGUCACGACAUCUUGUUGAUAUUGAUUGAGGAGUUUGAU